CUACGGAGGAUCCGAGCGUUAUCCGGAUUUAUUGGGUUUAAAGGGAGCGUAGGCGGACGCUUAAGUCAGUUGUGAAAGUUUGCGGCUCAACCGUAAAAUUGCAGUUGAUACUGGGUGUCUUGAGUACAGUAGAGGCAGGCGGAAAUCGUGGUGUAGAGGUGAAAUGCUUAGAUAUCACGAAGAACUCCGAUUGCGAAGGCAGCCUGCUGGACUGUAACUGACGCUGAUGCUCGAAAGUGUGGGUAUCAAACAGGAUUAGAUACCCUGGUAGUCCACACAGUAAACGAUGAAUACUCGCUGUUUGCGAUAUACAGUAAGCGGCCAAGCGAAAGCGUUAAGUAUUCCACCUGGGGAGUACGCCGGCAACGGUGAAACUCAAAUGAAUUGACGGGG
RNAcentral lists this ribosomal RNA (393 nucleotides) under uncultured bacterium. Its description in RNAcentral is "partial 16S ribosomal RNA". It matches the Rfam family "Bacterial small subunit ribosomal RNA", at positions 523 to 918 of the family's 1533-position model. The record is from RNAcentral.